GACGAACGCUGGCGGCGUGCUUAACACAUGCAGGUCGAACGGUAAGGCCCUUCGGGGUACACGAGUGGCGAACGGGUGAGUAACACGUGGGUGAUCUGCCCUGCACUUCGGGAUAAGCCUGGGAAACUGGGUCUAAUACCGGAUAGGACUCCGGACUGCAUGGUCUGGGGUGGAAAGCUUUUGCGGUGUGGGAUGGGCCCGCGGCCUAUCAGCUUGUUGGUGGGGUGAUGGCCUACCAAGGCGACGACGGGUAGCCGGCCUGAGAGGGUGACCGGCCACACUGGGACUGAGACACGGCCCAGACUCCUACGGGAGGCAGCAGUGGGGAAUAUUGCACAAUGGGCGCAAGCCUGAUGCAGCGACGCCGCGUGAGGGAUGACGGCCUUCGGGUUGUAAACCUCUUUCAGCAUCGACGAAGCGAAAGUGACGGUAGGUGCAGAAGAAGGACCGGCCAACUACGUGCCAGCAGCCGCCGCAG
RNAcentral lists this ribosomal RNA (478 nucleotides) under uncultured bacterium. RNAcentral's name for it is "partial 16S ribosomal RNA". It matches the Rfam family "Bacterial small subunit ribosomal RNA", at positions 28 to 523 of the family's 1533-position model. The record is from RNAcentral.